AACAGCAAAAAGACCAAAAAAAAAAAAAAAUUAGUGCAAAGUGUUCUAUCAAAGUAGGAACUUGGCCAAAUAGUAUACCUUAUUUUCCAUCCCUACUGAGUGAAGUCAGAGCUUGAGUGAACGUGUAAGUCUACAGUGGUCGGUAAAAUAUGUUCUCUUUUGAACCUGCGCAUAAAAACCUGAAGCCAACCUGGUAUUUGACCAUGCCACAGGCCACAGCUGGGUGUCUGCCGUCUGAGGGAUGCUUCAGUAAAACUCCAUACAAACUAUUUGAUAAAAUUUUAUUAAAGUAGAACUGAGAUUAGUGCCCUCUCUACACACACAGACUUAGAAGUGAGGUUUUUCAAGCUUUUGGCUAAAUUCUAAAGGUCAAAACCACUUGCCUGUUUAAGCGAAUGCAAUUCUUUUUAGAAAUUCUCCGUCUUCUUUUAGACAAAGUUUUGGUUCCACAUUAUCAUUUCAUUCAGAAAUCAUCCUUCCCACUUAAGAAGGUGGAAACAACACCCCUGUGAAAAUGUGCCAGAUGUAGUUUUUAUACCCCUCCUAUGAUUAAUUUUGUUGUUGUUGUUUUAUGUUACCUGACACAAGUUUGGGUGUCUAGAAUAUAGUACUUUCUUUUUAAUGUGUAGGGAAAACCCCCCAGCUUUUCCUUUCGCCUUCAGCGAAAGCACAGCCUAGAAUAAUACAUGCAUUGUUUUACAAAGGAAAAGUAUUUGAUGGUGUCUGAGGAAUACAGAGCACUGGGAUGAAAAUGAGGCUGCAAAGGAAAUGGAAUGAAAAACAGGCUUGUUUGGGUCACCCAGAAGCAAAAACCUAUCACACGCAGUCAUACAAAUAUACCCAAAACCCAGCAGCCACAUCAUACUGAUUCCCGACAACAAAACAAAAUGAAGAUGGAACUUCAGGGGAAUAAGACAAAGGGAAGGAGUGGAAAUGAAGCUGCCAAGGAAAACAGAACUGAUUUUGCAAAGUAUGAUAAUCUAUGAGAUGGACCUCUAAGAAGCUGAAGCAACUCUAUCUCUCAAUUUGGAAAAAUGCCCACUUCCAAGUUCUGGAGCAGAGUCAAGGAGCUAACACCUGGAAAGUGAUUAAAAUUGUGCCUUAUUAUGUUUUU
Molecule: non-coding RNA, 1114 nt
Organism: Sus scrofa (pig)
Lineage: Eukaryota; Metazoa; Chordata; Mammalia; Artiodactyla; Suidae
Source: RefSeq, a predicted model, not a curated record